Molecule: ribosomal RNA, 2049 nt
Filed under: Triticum aestivum (bread wheat)
Lineage: Eukaryota; Viridiplantae; Streptophyta; Magnoliopsida; Poales; Poaceae
Description: partial small subunit ribosomal RNA
Source: RNAcentral
AUGCGACGGGACGCCGCUGGCCCCGGCGGCGGCGCCGGCGCCGGGUUCCACGAUCUGUUCGACUCCGUGCGCCGAUCCAUCAACUUCCGCACCAGCGCCGCCGCGCCCCCGGAGCCUCCGGCGGGCCCCCUCGGCGGGGGCCCUGCGGGGGGUAUCGGCGUCCGGAUCAGCUCCUGCCUCCGCAAGUCGAGGGGGAUGGGGCUGCUCGGGCUCAUCUCCAAGAGCCCCUCGCCGCCGCGCCGCCUGCUGCCGCCGACGCCCGUGCCCGCCGACGGGGGCGGCCGCGCGGGGGAGAUCCCGCCGAUCCGGUGGCGGAAGGGCGAGAUGAUCGGCUCCGGCGCGUUCGGGCAGGUCUACCUCGGGAUGAACCUGGACACCGGGGAGCUCCUCGCAGUAAAGCAGGUUUUGAUCGGGAGCACCAACGCGACCCGGGAGAAAGCCCAAGCGCAUAUAAGAGAACUUGAGGAAGAAGUGAAGCUCCUCAAGAACCUUUCGCACCCCAAUAUUGUGAGGUACCUUGGGACAGUCCGUGAGGAAGACACACUGAAUAUCCUGCUGGAGUUUGUUCCUGGAGGGUCUAUCCAGUCGCUUCUUGGAAAACUCGGUUCAUUCCCGGAGGCAGUCAUUAGGAAGUAUACUAGGCAGAUUUUGCAAGGGUUGGAAUAUCUGCAUAGCAAUGCAAUAAUACAUAGAGACAUUAAGGGUGCAAACAUUCUUGUUGAUAACAAAGGCUGCAUUAAGCUUGCUGAUUUUGGGGCAUCUAAGCAAGUUGCCAAGUUGGCUACUAUGACAGCAGCUAAAACGAUGAAAGGCACGCCACACUGGAUGGCACCUGAAGUCAUUGUGGGGAGUGGGCAUACCUUCUCUGCAGAUAUCUGGAGUGUGGGAUGCACAGUCAUUGAAAUGGCUACUGGUAAACCACCAUGGAGCCAGCAGUAUCAGGAGGUUGCGCUUCUAUUUCAUGUUGGAACCACAAAGUCGCACCCACCAAUACCUGAACAUAUCUCACCAGAGGCUAAAGAUUUUCUGCUGAAAUGCCUGCAGAAGGAACCAGAGCUGAGGUCUAGCGCGUCAGAUUUAUUGAAGCAUCCGUUUGUGACCGGAGAAUUUGAUGACCGGCAGCUACUCAAUCGUACUCCACAGAAGGAUGCUUCCGUGAAUGAGCUUUUCGCACAUGAUGCGGAUACGCCAACAGAGAUGGGUUUGAAUCAUUCUGGCAACUGGUCAACAAUUAAUUCAAACAGAUCAUCUAAAAUCAAACCCCUAUGGGAGGGUGGUGGUGAUGACGAUGACAUGUGUGAGUUUGCUGACAAAGACGAUCAUCCAGCAGUUGGAUCUAGCUAUAAUCCUAUGUCUGAACCAUUUGAUGAUGACUGGAAAAGCAAGUACGACAUGAGCCCAGAGCAAAGUUCUCAUCAGUCGAGGGAAUUUGGUGGAUUAGCCAAGCAUCCUGAAAGCAGCAUGACCGAAAAUGAUUUUACCUUCCCUUGCGAGGGAAGUUGUGAAGAUGACGAUGUACUUACCGAGUCAAAAAUAGAAGCAUUUCUUGAUGAAAAGGCCCUUGAUCUGAAGAAGCUACAAACACCUUUAUAUGAAGAAUUCUACAAUAAAGUGAAUGCCGGGAGCUCUCAUGGAGUUGAUCAAACUUCCAAUGGUAAAUUCAUAAAUAGUCCGAAACUACCCCCUCGUGGAAAGUCGCCUCCAGGUAAGAUGAGGGGAGGUCCAGCGGUGGCAACGCCUUGUGAUACCAUUUUGAAUAGCAGUACGAUGGCUGAAAGUUGCAGCAGGCAAUUCUCAAGAGACGGCGGUGUAGAUAGCAGCCGGAUUUUGAGAGAAAUAGCUUCCCCUCAGCUCAAUGAGCUUGGGGAUAAAGUUCAUAUUGAUGUCCAAGAUAGCCCAAGCAUCAGCUUUGCUGAGAGGCAACGAAAAUGGAAAGAGGAGUUGGACCAGGAGCUUGAGAGGGAAAGAGUGAUGAGGUUAGCUGGCUGUGGCAAGACACCGUCUCCAAGUAGACGGCCCAGCAUCGGGAAGCGAGAGCGCCAUCAAUAG